CACGCCAGAGAGCGUGCACGUUGCUCUCGGCGCCGCCGAGCAACUGAGUGACGGAGCUUUCUCCUAAGACAGUCACUUCCUACGUGUAUAUCGUCUGCCGGGACGUUAAAACCCCAGGACGGUUUUUGAGAUCUCGCGAAUACGCUUCAUUCCACACUUUUGUCACGUUUGCCGAUCAACCAUCUGAUGUCCUGCUACCUUCUUCGCAGAGAGGCAGUGAUGGCGCCUAACUGAGUGGAAACAGUCGCCUGCAGCCAUGGGGACCUGAGGGAAGCCACCGCAGCCGCCUACACCAGCAGCAAGGACCAAUGAGGCCUUGCGAUGGGCCAGUCCCGGCUCUGGCUGCAGAGGUCGCUGCUGCUGCUGGUGGCCGCGCUGCUCGGCUGCCUGACGCCCGCCAAGCCAGAGGACGGCGCGACCACGAGAAAG
Long non-coding RNA from Schistocerca nitens (vagrant locust), 429 nucleotides. RefSeq lists it as uncharacterized. The transcript has 3 exons. Lineage: Eukaryota; Metazoa; Arthropoda; Insecta; Orthoptera; Acrididae. The record is from RefSeq and is a predicted model, not a curated record.